RNAcentral lists this long non-coding RNA (1002 nucleotides) under Coturnix japonica (Japanese quail). RNAcentral describes it as "lncRNA (ENSCJPG00005011884.1)". Lineage: Eukaryota; Metazoa; Chordata; Aves; Galliformes; Phasianidae. The record is from RNAcentral.
UCCGCGGCUCUAGCCCCGCAGCAUGGUGAAGCCCGGCGGCCGCGCGGAAACCUCCCCCUACUCGGCAGAGAGGGGAGGGGAGGCGAAGCGAGCUCCGCCGGCCCCCGGCCGCCUCCUUUAGCGGCCGCCCGCCGCCCCCAGCCCCGCAGCCGCCCUGGCAGCUCGGUCCGGAGAGGCCGCCAUCUUGGGAGAGCUACGUGCGCCGCCGCCGCUCCCCGCCCGCCCAUUGGGGCCGCGGGCCCCGGGGCCGCCUCUACCGGGGCCGGAUCCAUCCUCUCCCCGCCCAACCGCGGCCAGGCCCUUCGCUACGCCUGGUGCUGCGCUGCCUACCUGGGCCGGGGCGGGCAUGACCGCCUUCAGACUUUUACCAAGGAGUAUUUCCAAAUCCUCCAUUCAGAUGCUACACUUCAUGUUAAAGACAAAUGGCUUUGGAAUACUCAGCUUCAUGAAACUACUUUUUGAAGAGUGUUAAAGGAUACUUAGCGCCUGCAGCCAGCCUGUGUAGCUGCUUAUCACCUGCAGACAGUAGGGCCAGAAGGAAAAGCCUGCUGCGGAAACUUUUAUCUUGCCCUGCUACCCUGUCUUCCACCCUUUGCGGUCCCUCCAGGUUUGUAGAAAUGCUCUGUAAUCAGACAACUAACCAAAAUAUAUCAAGAAAAAAUUGCAAAAGCUUUGCUUUUCAUUUUCAAAGGUGAAGUCACAGAUCAGUCCACCUGAACAAGAUAGUGCUGCACUGGACUGCAUGGCUUACAUGAACCUGAAGUGCAUGAAAUUAUAGGAUAUGUUCCACUUGAUAUUUUGUAACUUUUUUUUUUUUUUCCCCAUUAAUUUGAUACUCCAUCAAAAGGAUUAUAUGGCAUUAUAAAACUUUAUCCUGUCUCAUGAGUCUCACAGGUCUCAUGUACUUUUGUCAAAGUUCUUAAAUUUACUUCUUCUUACUUGACCUUGAUUGAUUAAUUUUGCGAUUGACAAUAAAACCUUGAAAAUGUGAUCUAGUAACCA